This 1799-nucleotide ribosomal RNA is filed under the name Durio zibethinus. RNAcentral describes it as "SSU rRNA". It matches the Rfam family "Eukaryotic small subunit ribosomal RNA". Lineage: Eukaryota; Viridiplantae; Streptophyta; Magnoliopsida; Malvales; Malvaceae. The record is from RNAcentral.
CUUGGUUGGUCCUGCCAGUAGUCAUAUGCUUGUCUCAAAGAUUAAACCAUGCACGUGUAAGUAUGAACUAAUUUAAACUGUGAAACUGCGAAUGGUUUAUUAAAUCGGUUAUAAUUUGUUUGAUGGUAUCUACUACUUGGAUAAUUGUCAUAAUUCUAGAGCUAAUACGUGCAACAAACCCUAACUUCUAGAAGGGAUGCAUUUAUUAGAUAAAAGGUCAAUACGAGCUUUACCUGUUGCUUUAAUGGUUCAUGAUAACUCGAUGGAUCACAUAAACUUUGUGCUAACAACGUGCCAUUCAAAUUUUUGCCCUAUCAACUUUCGAUGGUAGGAUAGUAGCCUACUAUGGUGGUGAUGGGUGAUGGAGAAUUAAGGUUAGAUUCUAGAAAAAGAGCCUAAGAAAUGACUACCACAUCCAAGGAAGGCUAUAGGCAUGCAAAUUACCUAAUCUUGACUCGGAGAGGUAUUGACAAUAAAUAGCAAUAUUGAGCUCCAUGAGUCUAGUAAUUAGAAUGAGUACAAUCUAAAUCCUUUAACGAAGAUCCAUUAAAGGGCAAGUUUGGUGCCAGUAGCCAUGAUAAUUCUAGCUCUGAUCACUUAUAUUAAGUUGUUGCAGUUAAAAAGCUCGUAGUUGAAACUAGGACUAGGUCAUUUAGUCUGCCUCACAGUGAGCAUCGAUCUAUUUAUCCCUACUGUUGGUGAUGUGCUUCUGGCUUUAACUAGUUGGGUUGUUCCUCUAAUGCUGUUAUUUUAAAGAAAUUAAAGUGCUCAAAGCAAGCUUACACUUUUACACAUUAGUAUGGGAUAACAUCAUAUUAUUUCGAUCCUAUUGUGUUAGCCUUAGGGAUCGAAGUAAUGACUAACAAAGACAGUCAAGGGCAUUAUUUGUAUUUCAUAGUCAGAGGUGAAAUUCUUAGAUUUAUGAAAAAUGAACAAUUGUAAAAGCAUUUGCCAAGGAUAUUUUCAUUAAUCAAGAAUGAAAGUUAGGGGCUCAAUGACAAAUAGAUACCAUCCUAGUCUCCACCAUACAUGAUGCCAAUUAGGGAUUGAAGGAUGUUACUUUUAAGACUCUGUCAAUGCCUUAUGAGAAAUCAGAACUCUAUGGGUUUUAGGGGGUUAUGGUCACAAGGUUGAAACUUAAAAGAAUUGAUGGAAGGGUACCACCAAGAGUAGAGCCUACGGCUAAAUUUGACUCAACACGAGAAAACUUACUAGGUUGAAACAUAGUAAAGAUUGAUAGACUAAGAGCUCUUUCUUGAUGCUAUGGGUAGUGGUGCAUGGUCGUUCUUAGUUGGUAGAGCAAUUUGUCUAAUUAAUUCCAUUAACGAAUAAGACUUCAGCCUACUAACUAGCUACGUAUAGGUGAUCAUUCAUAGCUAGCUUCUUAGAGGGACUAUGGCCACUUAGGCUAAGGAAGUUUAAGGCAAUAACAAAUUUAUGAUGCCUUUAGAUGUUCUGGGCUACACACGUGCUACACUAACAUAUUCGAUGAGUUUACAGCCUUGGAUGACUAGCUCGAUAAUCUUCGAAAUUUCAUCAUUAUAGGGAUAAAUCAUUGCAAUUAUUAGUCUUUAACGAGGAAUUCCUAGUAAGUGCGAGUCAUCAGCUCGUGUUGACUACAUCCUUACCCUUUGUACACAUUACUUGUCACUUUUAUCAAUUGAAUGGUUCGGUGAAGUGUUCAGAUUACGAUGAUGUGGAUGGUUCACCACCUGUGACAUCGUGAGAAAUCCAUUGAACCUUAUCAUUUAGAAGAAGGAAAAGUUGUACCAAGGUUUUCAUAGGUGAACCUACAGAAG